UACGUAGGUGGCGAGCGUUAUCCGGAUUUACUGGGUGUAAAGGGCGUGCAGGCGGGUCAUCAAGUCGGGUGUGAAAUUUCCGGGCUUAACCCGGACAGGUCAUCCGAAACUGGAGAUCUUGAGUGCUGGAGAGGAUAGUGGAAUUCCUGGUGUAGCGGUAAAAUGCGUAGAUAUCAGGAGGAACACCAGUGGCGAAGGCGGCUAUCUGGACAGUAACUGACGCUGAGGCGCGAAAGCGUGGGGAGCAAACAGGAUUAGAUACCCCCGUAGUCC
RNAcentral lists this ribosomal RNA (273 nucleotides) under uncultured bacterium. RNAcentral's name for it is "partial 16S ribosomal RNA". It matches the Rfam family "Bacterial small subunit ribosomal RNA", at positions 524 to 796 of the family's 1533-position model. The record is from RNAcentral.